Molecule: long non-coding RNA, 247 nt
Filed under: Lathyrus oleraceus (garden pea)
Lineage: Eukaryota; Viridiplantae; Streptophyta; Magnoliopsida; Fabales; Fabaceae
Description: Pisum sativum (pea) long non-coding RNA (PSAT_LNC024888)
Source: RNAcentral
AUGUAAACCCCAUAAAUGUACCCCUUGGCCAAAACACUUCCGUACCCUGUUCAGAGUCAUGUCAAUGCAUUUAAACUGUGUUGAAAAGCUAAGUUUGGGGUUAAAAAAACCCAAAACCUCCCAAAGCCCAAGAAAGUGCGAAAACAAAAAGAAAAAAUGAAUGAAAUAGGAAAUCAUCGAGAGAAAGAAAAAAGAGAAAAAUAAUUAUAACUCGAAGAUUCAAAAAGAAGCACGAAAAAGGGCACUC